This 70-nucleotide transfer RNA is filed under the name Marmota monax (woodchuck). RNAcentral's name for it is "tRNA.Ala". The stretch from base 5 to 65 matches the Rfam family "tRNA", at positions 6 to 65 of the family's 71-position model. Rfam says of the family: Transfer RNA (tRNA) molecules are approximately 80 nucleotides in length. Lineage: Eukaryota; Metazoa; Chordata; Mammalia; Rodentia; Sciuridae. The record is from RNAcentral.
GAGUUGGGGCUCAGUGGUAGAGCACUUGCCUGGCACGUGUGAGGCCCUGAGUUCAAAUCUCUGCAUUGCA